This 252-nucleotide ribosomal RNA is filed under the name uncultured Allobaculum sp. Its description in RNAcentral is "partial 16S ribosomal RNA". It matches the Rfam family "Bacterial small subunit ribosomal RNA", at positions 524 to 776 of the family's 1533-position model. The record is from RNAcentral. Lineage: Bacteria; Bacillati; Bacillota; Erysipelotrichia; Erysipelotrichales; Erysipelotrichaceae.
UAAGGAGGAUGCGAGCGUUAUCCGGAUUUAUUGGGUUUAAAGGGAGCGUAGGUGGAUUGUUAAGUCAGUUGUGAAAGUUUGCGGCUCAACCGGUACAGGCUCUGGAAACUGGCGGGCUAGAGAGCAGGAGAGGGCGGUGGAACUCCAUGUGUAGCGGUAAAAUGCGUAGAUAUAUGGAAGAACACCAGUGGCGAAGGCGGCCGCCUGGCCUGUUGCUGACGCUGAGGCACGAAAGCGUGGGGAGCAAAUAGG